CUUUCAACAACGGAUCUCUUGGCUCUCGCAUCGAU
This 35-nucleotide ribosomal RNA is filed under the name Tricholoma murrillianum. Its description in RNAcentral is "5.8S ribosomal RNA". Lineage: Eukaryota; Fungi; Basidiomycota; Agaricomycetes; Agaricales; Tricholomataceae. The record is from RNAcentral.